AUCCCUGUAGCUCAGUUGGUAGAGCAUGGUGUUUGCAACGCAUGGUGUUCGCAACGCCAGGGUUGUGGGUUCGAUUCCCACGGGGGGCC
Salmo salar (Atlantic salmon) is the source of this 89-nucleotide non-coding RNA. The record is from Rfam. Lineage: Eukaryota; Metazoa; Chordata; Actinopteri; Salmoniformes; Salmonidae.